RNAcentral lists this unclassified non-coding RNA (284 nucleotides) under Dothideomycetes sp. RNAcentral's name for it is "partial contains 5.8S ribosomal RNA, internal transcribed spacer 2, and large subunit ribosomal RNA". The stretch from base 1 to 71 matches the Rfam family "5.8S ribosomal RNA", at positions 84 to 154 of the family's 154-position model. Lineage: Eukaryota; Fungi; Ascomycota; Dothideomycetes. The record is from RNAcentral.
GUGAGUCAUCGAAUCUUUGAACGCACAUUGCGCCCCUUGGUAUUCCAUGGGGCAUGCCUGUUCGAGCGUCAUUUGUACCUUCAAGCUCUGCUUGGUGAUGGGUGUUUGUCUGGCUUUGUGCAGACUCGCCUUGAAUGUAUUGGCAGCCGGUUGUCUGGUCGUAGAGCGCAGCACAUUUUGCGUACCUCGCCUGGCAGUCGGAGACCAUCAAGCCCACUUUCCACGUUUGACCUCGGAUCAGGUAGGGAUACCCGCUGAACUUAAGCAUAUCAAUAAGCGGAGGA